GGGCCGAUAGCAUAGUUGGUAGAGCAUCCGUCUAGUAUAGAAAGGCCUAGGUUUGACUCCUAGCUAGUCCA
Molecule: non-coding RNA, 71 nt
Organism: Trichophaea hybrida
Lineage: Eukaryota; Fungi; Ascomycota; Pezizomycetes; Pezizales; Pyronemataceae
Source: the annotation of a GenBank genome assembly